UGGGGAAUUUUGCGCAAUGGGGGAAACCCUGACGCAGCAACGCCGCGUGAGUGAUGAAGGCCUUCGGGUCGUAAAGCUCUGUCAGAGGGGAAGAAAUGCAGGGGUGCUAAUAUCAUCUUUGCUUGACGGUACCCUCAAAGGAAGCACCGGCUAACUCCGUGCCAGCAGCCGCGGUAAUACUGAGGGUGCGAGCGUUGUUCGGAAUUAUUGGGCGUAAAGCGCGUGUAGGCGGUUUGGUAAGUCUGAUGUGAAAGCCCCGGGCUCAACCUGGGAAGUGCAUUGGAAACUGGCAGAGUUGAAUACGGGAGAGGGUAGUGGAAUUCCUAGUGUAGGAGUGAAAUCCGUAGAUAUUAGGAGGAACACCGGUGGCGAAGGCGGCUACCUGGACCGAUAUUGACGCUGAGACGCGAAAGCGUGGGGAGCAAACAG
This 429-nucleotide ribosomal RNA is filed under the name uncultured bacterium. RNAcentral's name for it is "bacterial SSU rRNA". It matches the Rfam family "Bacterial small subunit ribosomal RNA", at positions 355 to 775 of the family's 1533-position model. The record is from RNAcentral.